GGCUCCGUGGCUUAUGCAGUGAAAGCACCUGUCUAGUAAACCGGAGACCCUGCGUUCAGUCCCAGUGGGGCCU
Molecule: transfer RNA, 73 nt
Filed under: Bos grunniens (domestic yak)
Lineage: Eukaryota; Metazoa; Chordata; Mammalia; Artiodactyla; Bovidae
Also listed under: 3 other names
Rfam family: tRNA
About the family: Transfer RNA (tRNA) molecules are approximately 80 nucleotides in length. Their secondary structure includes four short double-helical elements and three loops (D, anti-codon, and T loops).
Source: Rfam by way of RNAcentral